GUGCUCGCUACGGUGGCACAUAUACUAAAAUUGGAUCGAUACAGAGAAGACUAGCAUGACCCCUGCGAAAGGAUGACACGCUAAUCCGUGAAUUGCUCCAUAUUGCU
Molecule: small nuclear RNA, 107 nt
Filed under: Danio rerio (zebrafish)
Lineage: Eukaryota; Metazoa; Chordata; Actinopteri; Cypriniformes; Danionidae
Source: RNAcentral